GGACUGCAAGAAAAUUCUUUUUGGUCUACUGACAUCCCUGUUUAAUUAAUAAGUGCUGUCACACAUUCAGCAAGCACGCAUAUCGCUCUUGGUCUUGGUAAGAGCCACUCUCUUUUCCAGUGCUGUGAGUCAUUCAGUCUUCACAAGGUUUUGUCCUCUUCACCAGUCACAAAAAAAUAUUUGUUUGGAAUUUGGUAAACUGAAGUGGAAGUGUCCUCGCCGCUGAGAAUUUACACUGGGACCAGAAUGAUGCCUGCUCUUCCCUCACACAAGGAUGCAGAGCCUAUCGAAGGAAGGGAAUUACAAAAUGACAAGGGCAAACUCUCUCCUGACUUAAUAAUGAGGGGAAAAAACACAGUUUGCACUCUUCCUCCUGUUUGGCAGAAAGCUUUUC
RNAcentral lists this long non-coding RNA (394 nucleotides) under Gallus gallus (chicken). Its description in RNAcentral is "long non-coding RNA NONGGAT008232". Lineage: Eukaryota; Metazoa; Chordata; Aves; Galliformes; Phasianidae. The record is from RNAcentral.